AUUGAACGCUGGCGGCAUGCCUUACACAUGCAAGUCGAACGGCAGCACGGAGCGUUGCUCCUGGUGGCGAGUGGCGAACGGGUGAGUAAUACAUCGGAACGUACCCUGAAGUGGGGGAUAACGUAGCGAAAGUUACGCUAAUACCGCAUAUUCUGUGAGCAGGAAAGAGGGGGAUCGCAAGACCUCUUGCCUUAGGAGCGGCCGAUGUCGGAUUAGCUAGUUGGUGAGGUAAAGGCUCACCAAGGCGACGAUCCGUAGCGGGUCUGAGAGGAUGAUCCGCCACACUGGGACUGAGACACGGCCCAGACUCCUACGGGAGGCAGCAGUGGGGAAUUUUGGACAAUGGGCGCAAGCCUGAUCCAGCCAUGCCGCGUGAGUGAAGAAGGCCUCGGUUGGUUAAAGGACGUACUUUCCGGUUGGGGAAGGAAAGUAGGCACGGGUUAAGUAACCC
This 451-nucleotide ribosomal RNA is filed under the name uncultured bacterium. RNAcentral describes it as "bacterial SSU rRNA". It matches the Rfam family "Bacterial small subunit ribosomal RNA", at positions 30 to 475 of the family's 1533-position model. The record is from RNAcentral.